CUCGCACUAUGCGUGUGAUGAUGUCAGAGGUGGAGAUGCCCUCUGUCCGCUGGGUGGGAGCGAACAUCCCUGCUCUUUUGAUGUGUGUGU
Long non-coding RNA from Notothenia coriiceps (black rockcod), 90 nucleotides. RefSeq lists it as uncharacterized. The record is from RefSeq and is a predicted model, not a curated record. The transcript has 3 exons. NCBI's taxonomy places the organism in Eukaryota, Metazoa, Chordata, Actinopteri, Perciformes, Nototheniidae.